AUUGAACGCUGGCGGCAGGCCUAACACAUGCAAGUCGAGCGCGUGGCGGACGGGUGAGUAAUGUAUGGGGACUGCCCGAUAGAGGGGGAUAACUACUGGAAACGGUGGCUAAUACCGCAUACUCUCGGUUACCCUCUAUGGGAUUAGCUAGUAGGUGGGGUAAAGGCUCACCUAGGCGACGACCUCUAGCUGGUCUGAGAGGAUGAUCAGCCACACUGGGACUGAGACACGGCCCAGACUCCUACGGAGGCAGCAGUGGGGAAUAUUGCACAAUGGGCGCAAGCCUGAUGCAGCCAUGCCGCGUGGAUGAAGAAGGCCUUAGGGUUGUAAAGUACUUUCGGCGGGGAGGCGUUACCCGCAGAAGAAGCACCGGCUAACUCCGUGCCAGCAGCCGCGGUAAUUC
This 403-nucleotide ribosomal RNA is filed under the name uncultured bacterium. RNAcentral's name for it is "partial 16S ribosomal RNA". It matches the Rfam family "Bacterial small subunit ribosomal RNA", at positions 30 to 526 of the family's 1533-position model. The record is from RNAcentral.